Molecule: small nucleolar RNA, 135 nt
Organism: Sorex fumeus (smoky shrew)
Lineage: Eukaryota; Metazoa; Chordata; Mammalia; Eulipotyphla; Soricidae
Product: U8 small nucleolar RNA
Exons: 1
Source: RefSeq, a predicted model, not a curated record
AAACUAGAUAGGAUAAUUCCUACCUGUUCCUCUAGUCAGAGGGCAAAUAGAACAAUGAUUGGCAUGCACAUAAUUUAUGAUUAACAUCUCUGUGUGAUUAGGGCUCAAAACACCCUAUCUGAUUAAAAACUAGAU